This 449-nucleotide ribosomal RNA is filed under the name uncultured Streptococcus sp. Its description in RNAcentral is "bacterial SSU rRNA". It matches the Rfam family "Bacterial small subunit ribosomal RNA", at positions 936 to 1382 of the family's 1533-position model. Lineage: Bacteria; Bacillati; Bacillota; Bacilli; Lactobacillales; Streptococcaceae. The record is from RNAcentral.
AGCAUGUGGUUUAAUUCGAAGCAACGCGAAGAACCUUACCAGGCCUUGACAUGCUAGGGAACCCGGGUGAAAGCCUGGGGUGCCCCGCGAGGGGAGCCCUAGCACAGGUGCUGCAUGGCCGUCGUCAGCUCGUGCCGUGAGGUGUUGGGUUAAGUCCCGCAACGAGCGCAACCCCGCCGUUAGUUGCCAGCGGUUCGGCCGGGCACUCUAGCGAGACUGCCGGUAAUAAACCGGAGGAAGGUGGGAUGACGUCAAAUCAUCAUGCCCCUUAUGACCUGGGCUACACACGUGCUACAAUGGUUGGUACAACGAGUUGCGAGUCGGUGACGGCGAGCUAAUCUCUUAAAGCCAAUCUCAGUUCGGAUUGUAGGCUGCAACUCGCCUACAUGAAGUCGGAAUCGCUAGUAAUCGCGGAUCAGCACGCCGCGGUGAAUACGUUCCCGGGCCUU